GAACUUGGUCCAUCCAAAUGGAUGUGAACUAGGAUUCUAGACUAAAUAUUACAAGUUUUCUAUAUGUUACCUUAAUUGGUUGCAUAUAGUAGCUAGUAAGUUUACCUUGAAAAAAUUAGAGUGCUCAAUGCGGGCUUAAUGCCUGAAUACUCGUGCAUGGAAUAAUAAAAUAGGAUCUUGGUUCUAUUUUGUUGGUUUUCUGAUCUAAGAUAAUGGUUAAGAGGGACGGACGGGGGCAUUCGUAUCGCUACGUGAGAGGUGAAAUUCUUGGACCGUAGCGAGACGUACAACUGCGAAAGCAUUUGCCAAGAAUGUCUUCAUUAAUCAAGAACGAAAGUCAGAGGUUCGAAGGCGAUCAGAUACCGCCCUAGUUCUGACCGUAAACGAUACCAACUA
RNAcentral lists this ribosomal RNA (396 nucleotides) under Dirofilaria immitis (dog heartworm nematode). RNAcentral's name for it is "SSU rRNA". It matches the Rfam family "Eukaryotic small subunit ribosomal RNA", at positions 651 to 1048 of the family's 1831-position model. The record is from RNAcentral. Lineage: Eukaryota; Metazoa; Nematoda; Chromadorea; Rhabditida; Onchocercidae.